RNAcentral lists this ribosomal RNA (253 nucleotides) under uncultured bacterium. RNAcentral describes it as "partial 16S ribosomal RNA". It matches the Rfam family "Bacterial small subunit ribosomal RNA", at positions 524 to 776 of the family's 1533-position model. The record is from RNAcentral.
UACGUAGGGGGCUAGCGUUGUCCGGAUUUAUUGGGCGUAAAGAGCGUGUAGGCGGUCCGGUAAGUCCGCUGUGAAAGUCGGGGGCUCAACCCUCGAAUGCCGGUGGAUACUGUCGGGCUAGAGUGCGGAAGAGGCGAGUGGAAUUCCUGGUGUAGCGGUGAAAUGCGCAGAUAUCAGGAGGAACACCGAUUGCGAAGGCAGCUCGCUGGGACGUAACUGACGCUGAGACGCGAAAGCGUGGGGAGCAAACAGG